AUGAGUGCUCAUUGGUUAGUAGUUAGAUAAGUGUUUUCCUGGUUUUUUUUAUAAUUCUUCGUGUACCUAAGAAUUUCUAGUAGGAAUAUGUAGGCACACAGUUUGUGGUGAUUGGGAGUGGGGCUGGCCCAGCCCCAUCCCCAGUGGGUGCAGCUGUGAGCAGCAGAUGAGCAGCACUGACAGCAAUGAGCCAUGGAGUGCCCAGGGGCACUGAGAAACACCAAAGGGAGCAGAGGGCACACAGGUGCAGUGCAUCAGCAUGAGGGGAUAAAAGGUUGGGCUAAUGAAUGAGAAGGGCAGAGCUUGCAGCCUUCUGAAGUGGUUUGGUGUUACUCUGUGUGGAGUGAAGCUUUCUGAUAGUGUAUGGUGACACUCUGUGUACCAUGGGUGUAUCAGCUGCGACACGUGUAGCAACAGGUAUACAGAAAGGAUAACACAGAAAAAGUUGCUGGAAUGGUGCAAGGUGAGCCAUGUUCCCAGCAGAUGUACAAGACUUGAAGUGUUUUCAUUUAUCUGUUCAGUUUGUUUUUGAAACAAUUAGGUAGCAUGAAGACAGAUGCCUCUCUUAAUUUCCCUGUGAUGAAGAUGUCUGGUAUGAAGUGGAAAUAUCUGCAGUUCUCCUGUCAGGGAGCAGCACCUUGUCACAAGCUGCCCAAAUUUCAGAUGUUAAACACAUGUGGAUCCUGGAUCAGAACCAAUGCUCGAGGCAUUUGCAGGGAGAGGACAGCCAUUCCAAGAAACCUCAAUAUGUUGGAAGGGGUCUAUAUUUUCUGGUGAAAAAUAAAGCAAAUGCUGCGACUGCAUAUUAUCGUGGAGAGAUCCUACUGCAUGCUCAGGAAAAGGAAUCUGUUGUUUUUCACAGCUUCUGAAGUGGGAAACAAGUUCUGCCUCCAUUUUACACUGAGUUAAGUAAAAAAUUGCAGAAAUGAAGACCUGGUUUCCCUACACGCUUCUGGAGGCUGGGUACUGUCCUGCAAAACUUGCUUCCUCAGCAGAAAGAGGUUCUCCAAGAAAGCAGUGCCCUAAAUUCUGCUGUUCACCGUUUGAAAGAGGCAGCCAGGUAGAAUUUAUUUUCUCAGGAGUUUUUCUUUUGCUGAUUAAUUGUUUUCCACACUAGGCCAUUAUGUUGGUAAAAUAUUUAUAACCAUUAUGAUGAAAAUUGCCAGGAAAUGAAUUCACAUAGUCCUGCUACCUUUAGAAUUUUUUUUUCCCAGGACUUUGAAACACUGCUGUGGUUUUGGCUUGCCUCUCUAGUCUUGCUAUUCUUUUCUGUCACACUCGGUAAUUGGCCUAAUAAAAGGCAGUAACAAGAAUUUAUUACACCUUGGGCGAUACUUGAAACAAACUUUAUUUGCUGGAGCAGCACUUUUUAUCUACUCGCUGCUGUAUAUUUUGACAGUCUUUCUAAAUAUUAAAUCUGACUUUAUUAAAAGUUAAAUCUUGGUGCUUUUUUGUGAUUGCUGCUGUUUUUGCAGUUUCUUAAGCAGACUAGUACAUAUAUAAACAUAUCUUUUUAAUGAAGCUUUUGGAGAAAUAAUGUAAGCUGUAGAUCUAUCUGCUUAUUGCCAGAAUCCACAAAAAAGGUAUGAAUUAAAGACCAGCUUCUAGGAGAUCUUGUAAUUUAGUUUUGGAAUAAUGUAUGUGAUUGAGAGAACAAAGAUGAGAACUAUUCAACUUUUCAUACCUUUUUCAAGGUUCAGAUUUGAUGAAAUGUUCCUUGAGCAAAUGACACCCUUAACAUUUAAAGUUCGCAAAGUAACAGCAGUAAAAUUAAAGCAAGGCUAGAUUGCUAUGAUGUAAUUUCCCCUUUUAAAUCUGGGUUUCUUCUUCCAGAUACUGAAUGAUAAAACCAUAAACUUUUUUUGUUUGUUUUCUAAAAAGGCCUUAAGAAAGAGCAGUAAGUCAUCCUGGAACUG
This is a long non-coding RNA of Passer domesticus (house sparrow), 1916 nucleotides long. RefSeq lists it as uncharacterized. Lineage: Eukaryota; Metazoa; Chordata; Aves; Passeriformes; Passeridae. The transcript is spliced from 5 exons. The record is from RefSeq and is a predicted model, not a curated record.